This 253-nucleotide ribosomal RNA is filed under the name uncultured bacterium. RNAcentral's name for it is "partial 16S ribosomal RNA". It matches the Rfam family "Bacterial small subunit ribosomal RNA", at positions 524 to 776 of the family's 1533-position model. The record is from RNAcentral.
UACGUAGGGGGCAAGCGUUUGUCCGGAUUUAUUGGGCGUAAAGAGCGUGUAGGCGGUUUGGUAGGUCCGUUGUGAAACUCGAGGCUCAACCUCGAGACGCCGGCGGAAACCAUCAGGCUAGAGUCCGGAAGAGGAGAGUGGAAUUCCUGGUGUAGCGGUGAAAUGCGCAGAUAUCAGGAAGAACACCCGUGGCUAAGGCGGCUCUCUAGUACGGUACUGACGCUGAGACGCGAAAGCGUGGGGAGCGAACAGG